This 398-nucleotide transfer-messenger RNA is filed under the name Nonlabens sp. Hel1_33_55. It matches the Rfam family "transfer-messenger RNA". Rfam says of the family: Bacterial tmRNA, also known as 10Sa RNA or SsrA, is named for its dual tRNA and mRNA-like properties. Its role is to liberate the mRNA from a stalled ribosome. The record is from RNAcentral. Lineage: Bacteria; Pseudomonadati; Bacteroidota; Flavobacteriia; Flavobacteriales; Flavobacteriaceae.
GGGGUCGACUGGUUUUGACAGCGAGACCGAGUUGAUUGUAAGCAUGUAGAGCGCUGGGCCACAGCUCUUAAAUCUCAUGAUUCAUCUUUUUUAAACGGCGAGAAUAACUACGCCCUAGCAGCAUAAUCUGAAUUAUAGUAAGAUGUGCCUCGGCUCGUAAGACGAGCAUGCAGGAAUUCUCUCAAAGGCCUUGGUUUAUGGCACUUGAUAUAGAGAAUUCGUAAAAAUAGACCUAUCCUCAUCAGGGCUUUGAUGGUGAGGAGACACUCAAGUGAAGACAAGCGGUGCUUUGGUAGUUAUCGACCGGUGCAUCGACUGAAAUUAAAUGAUGACUAAACAUGUAGAAAGCGAUGAAGUCGCUCGUUUGGACGGCGGUUCGAAUCCGCCCGACUCCACAG